GGAAGAAUAACUGAUGGAAAAAUCAUUCUGACGGUACCUAAUGAAAAAGCCCCGGCUAACUAUGUGCCAGCAGCCGCGGUAAUACAUAGGGGGCAAGCGUUAUCGGAAUUAUUGGGCGUAAAGGGUGCGUAGGCGGUUAAAUAAGUUUAUGGUCUAAGUGCAAUGCUCAACAUUGUGAUGCUAUAAAAACUGUUUAGCUAGAGUAAGAUAGAGGCAAGUGGAAUUCCAUGUGUAGUGGUAAAAUGCGUAAAUAUAUGGAGGAACACCAGUAGCGAAGGCGGCUUUGCUGGGUCUUUACUGACGCUGAGGCACGAAAGCGUGGGGAGCAAACAGGAUUAGAUACCCUGGUAGUCCACGCCGUAAACGAUGAGUACUAAACGUUGGGUAAAACCAGUGUUGAAGUUAACACAUUAAGUACUCCGCCUGAGUAGUACGUACGCAAGUAUGAAACUUAAAGGAAUUGACGGGACUCCGCACAAGCGGUGGAUCAUGUUGUUUAAUUCGAAGGUACCCGAAAAACCUCACCAGGUCUUGACAUGCUUCUGCAAAGCUGUAGAAACACAGUGGAGGUUAUCAGUUGCACAGGUGGUGCAUGGUUGUCGUCAGCUCGUGUCGUGAGAUGUUGGGUUAAGUCCCGCAACGAGCGCAACCCUUAUUGUUAGUUACCAGCACGUAAUGGUGGGGACUUUAGCAAGACUGCCAGUGAUAAAUUGGAGGAAGGUGGGGACGACGUCAAAUCAUCAUGCCCCUUAUGACCUGGGCUACAAACGUGAUACAAUGGCUGUAUGAAAA
Molecule: ribosomal RNA, 792 nt
Filed under: 'Daucus carota' phytoplasma
Lineage: Bacteria; Bacillati; Mycoplasmatota; Mollicutes; Acholeplasmatales; Acholeplasmataceae
Description: bacterial SSU rRNA
Rfam family: Bacterial small subunit ribosomal RNA
Source: RNAcentral